AAUUGCAGGACACAUUGAACAUCGACAUCUUGAACGCAUAUUGCGGCUUCGGGUCACUCCCGAGGCCACGUCUGUCUGAGGGUCGGCGAAUAGCACUCGCAAGCGCAAGGCUUGCGCCUUGGCCCGUCGGUUGAUGCGGUGGUCAAUCGUCGAGCCCGAGAGAAAGCCACGGGUGUUCGAAGUUUCUAAAACUCACCCUUGUAUCUUCUUCCUUUGAGGAUGCUUUUGUGCACCUGCGAUGGGAGUCGCUGCUCGAUGUUGGUCGAGCGAGGGGGCCCCAGCGCUCUCGUCGCAAGCUCUAUGGUGUGCGAAGGCGUUUGCUUAGGCUAGAGGGUACGCUGCUCGUAUAAGGGAGAGCGAGUAGAAAGCACUCGGCGGGGGAAGCCCAAAAGUCUCUCU
Molecule: ribosomal RNA, 399 nt
Filed under: Pinctada margaritifera
Lineage: Eukaryota; Metazoa; Mollusca; Bivalvia; Pterioida; Pteriidae
Description: eukaryotic LSU rRNA
Rfam family: 5.8S ribosomal RNA (bases 1-85)
Source: RNAcentral